This 467-nucleotide ribosomal RNA is filed under the name uncultured bacterium. RNAcentral's name for it is "partial 16S ribosomal RNA". It matches the Rfam family "Bacterial small subunit ribosomal RNA", at positions 29 to 507 of the family's 1533-position model. The record is from RNAcentral.
AGUGAACGCUGGCGGUAGGCCUAACACAUGCAAGUCGAACGGCAGCACAGUAAGAGCUUGCUCUUACGGGUGGCGAGUGGCGGACGGGUGAGGAAUACAUCGGAAUCUACUUUUUCGUGGGGGAUAACGUAGGGAAACUUACGCUAAUACCGCAUACGACCUACGGGUGAAAGCAGGGGAUCUUAAGACCUUGCGCGAUUGAAUGAGCCGAUGUCGGAUUAGCUAGUUGGCAGGGUAAAGGCCCACCAAGGCGACGAUCCGUAGCUGGUCUGAGAGGAUGAGCAGGCACACUGGGACUGAGACACGGCCCAGACUGCUACGGGAAGCAGGAGUGGGGAAUAUUGGACAAUGGGCGAAAGCAUGAUCCAGCAAUGCCGCGUGAGUGAUGAAGGCCUGAGGGUUGUAAAGCUCUUUUACCCGGGAUGAUAAUGACAGUACCGGGAGAAUAAGCUCCGGCUAACUCCGUG